Molecule: ribosomal RNA, 429 nt
Filed under: Bacteroidota bacterium
Lineage: Bacteria; Pseudomonadati; Bacteroidota
Description: Bacteroidetes bacterium partial 16S ribosomal RNA
Rfam family: Bacterial small subunit ribosomal RNA
Source: RNAcentral
UAGGGAAUCUUCCGCAAUGGACGCAAGUCUGACGGAGCAACGCCGCGUGAGUGAAGAAGGAUUUCGGUUCGUAAAACUCUGUUGUUAGAGAAGAACAGCGUAUAGAGUAACUGUUAUGCGUGUGACGGUAUCUAACCAGAAAGCCACGGCUAACUACGUGCCAGCAGCCGCGGUAAUACGUAGGUGGCAAGCGUUGUCCGGAUUUAUUGGGCGUAAAGCGAGCGCAGGCGGUUAAUUAAGUCUGAUGUGAAAGCCCCCGGCUGAACCGGGGAGGGUCAUUGGAAACUGGUUGACUUGAGUGCAGAAGAGGGGAGUGGAAUUCCAUGUGUAGCGGUGAAAUGCGUAGAUAUAUGGAGGAACACCAGUGGCGAAGGCGACUCUCUGGUCUGUAACAGACGCUGAGGCUCGAAAGCGUGGGUAGCAAACAGG